This 395-nucleotide long non-coding RNA is filed under the name Nicotiana tabacum (common tobacco). RNAcentral describes it as "long non-coding RNA (NTAB_LNC013305)". Lineage: Eukaryota; Viridiplantae; Streptophyta; Magnoliopsida; Solanales; Solanaceae. The record is from RNAcentral.
AUAAGUUUCUUCACCAACCACUUUAACAGCUACACCAUCUGCGAAACCCCCAACUUGGUCCAGCAUUACCCUUUGACCAUGCUGUAAUGAUAAUGCCAUUGCAUUUGCAUCAAGUGGCUCAACUCCAAUAAUUUUUAUAUCAGGGGCAACCCUUUUCAAAUAGGCAGCAAUACCAGCUAUAAGACCCCCUCCCCCAACAGGCACAAAGACUGCAUGAAUGUUUUCUUUAAGCUGUCGAUUUAUCUCCAUUCCAACUGUACCUUGUCCUAUGAUGACAUCAGGGUGAUCAAAAGGAGGGAUGAAUGUACGGCCUUCAGCUUCGGCCCGCGCUUUUGCGUAUGCUUGAGCUUCAUCAUAUGCGUCUCCCACUAGGACAACAGUAGCACCCAAUCUCU